CCAGACAGAGGGCGUCACUAGAGAGCCGU
RNAcentral lists this non-coding RNA (29 nucleotides) under Homo sapiens (human). Lineage: Eukaryota; Metazoa; Chordata; Mammalia; Primates; Hominidae. The record is from RNAcentral.